UCCCGCGUGGUCUGGCGGUUAGGAUUCCUGACUCCCACCCAGGCGGCCCCGGUUCGACUCCCGGCGCGGGAG
Non-coding RNA from Schistosoma mansoni, 72 nucleotides. Lineage: Eukaryota; Metazoa; Platyhelminthes; Trematoda; Strigeidida; Schistosomatidae. The record is from Rfam.